Molecule: long non-coding RNA, 6386 nt
Organism: Prinia subflava (tawny-flanked prinia)
Lineage: Eukaryota; Metazoa; Chordata; Aves; Passeriformes; Cisticolidae
Exons: 2
Source: RefSeq, a predicted model, not a curated record
ACAUGGAGAAAAAAAUGCAUUAAGUCCAUUAAAUAGUUUGUUUUAUAUAUCAGUGCCCACGUGGACCCACAGUAUAGCACUACACAAUUUCUUACGAGGAAAAUACUAACUGAACCAGAAAAAUACAAACACCAGGCCUUCCUUGGGCUGGUAACAAUCAGAAAACAAGCCAUAAGGCAUUUACCAAGUGUCCUGGGGUGACUUUAUGAUGCUUGUAUCCCUAUUCGUCUGUUCUGUCUGUGCUGUAUAUUGAGUUCUGUGCCUUUUAAGACUGGCUCUGAGAGCAAAGCAGGGAAAGAAAAAGCGCCAUUUGUUUUUGUGAAAAACGUGAGAUGAUUAAUUCAUGUUCUUAUGGUAAAUUGGAAAAUUAUAAAGCUGUAUAAAUUUAUAUCAGGUAAAAGUCUAUGUUUUAGGAGGUUUCUCCAUUCAGAAGGGAACAAAAGACUUUGCAGCCUUCUCAAGUAUUGGGAGGGGACCUGUUGAGAUGAGCCGGUAUCAGCAACUCACACCUCGGGAGCCACCUUCACAGACCAUCAAGCAAUAUCACCCAUAUCUCGAACAUUCAUCAACUAUAAGGAUCCAUAGAAACUGAACAUUAACACAUAGACUUGGGAGGGGAGCUCUUUUCAAUCCGACCGGAGACGAAUUUGGGUUUGAAUAGCAACCAAGAAACAAAGGGAAAUAUGGGGAAAUAUUGCCAGAGGCAGAAUAAAGAGUAUAAAAACCAAGCCUCGAACAUGGCAAAUUCGUGUACCCAGCUAGAGACACAGACGGCCAGGGUCUAUGUCUAUGGGUCACCCUUGGCUCUCUUUUUUCCCGGGAGAAACUCUGUCAAGUAGGUAUCGCUGUUUGUGUGGGUUUAUUUUAUUGCUUAAAAUUCUGUGAUUUGAUUCCAAAUUUUGUGAUUUGAAUUUUUAAUAAACCAAAUUAUUGAAUUUGGAAAUAAAUUGUCCUGGCAUUUAUAACAGUUUUGAAAACAGCUCUCACUCCUGCACAUUCCUCUCCAGACAGUGGUCAGUGGUUCGUCUGAACGGUGGCUGGGACAGAGAUUUUUUUUUUUUUUUGCUUUUAGUUAGUUCAGCUAGCUGAGGCAGAAAAGCUUCCUGGACUGUUUUUUUUUUUUUUCUCUUUUUCUUGGGGCUGUUUAAACCUGCUCCACACUGAAAAACCUAGAGAGACACCCAGAUCUCACACCUGCAUCCCUCAGGGCCCAGGACAGCAUUUUUUUUCAGUGCCAGAGGAACUGGUGGGAAUACUGAGAGAGCCGAGCUGCACCCACGGCAAGGACUUUCUCAAUUUGCCUUCUCAGUUCAGAACAAGAGGUUUUGUUGUUUCAUAUUAUUCAUUCUUUGUGCUUGUGGGCACUUUGUUUGUUAAAUAAAUAGGUUUUUUCCACUUUUCUCUGAAGAAGUUCUUUUCCGGACUGGUUGGGGGGACGGGCCGUUUGGGUUUGCUUCCCCAGAGGGACCCUAUUUGGGGGUUUCCUCCCAAAUUUGCCCCAAACCAGGACAGCUACAUUUUCAUUGGCACCCAGUGUGGGGUACCAGGGGCCUGGUGGCCUAGCCGGGCUCCUGCCCCCCCCCCCCCCCCCAUCUCCAGCUACAAGCGAAAAAGAGGGGAGGCUGCCGCUUAUGUCAGCCGAGCCCCGGAUAGCAGCUCCGGGCUCCGGGCUCGGCAGGGCUCGCUCCGCUCCACCAUGGGCCCCACCCAGGGCUUGUGCAUGGCCCGGUUGGGUUCUGUUUCUGCCGCCAGUCGGGCCGGGCCCACUCCAUUAGACCAGGGGUGGGCAGGAGCCCCCCCCUCCUCCGAUGACUCCCGGACGGAUAGGAAAGGAGGGGGGAAAGCCCGCUGCUCUGAGAUCUCUCAGCCCUGAGAAGCUGCUGCUCAGCAGAGAUCACAUGACCACUGCAGGCCUGGGCAGAUUUAACCCUUUCUUAGCAAAAUGAGGGUUUCAGUGCUUAACCUUUCCCUGAGAGAGAGAAGAGAGGGACAGAGUGAAUGUAAAGAAGUCAGAGCAUGAAGUCAUCGGAGAGAGAAAGUGAAAAGACUUUUUGGGAGGAGGGUUUGAGGAGAUUGCUAUUUUAAGCUGAAUUUCUCUUAUCGAGCUAUGGAAAUGAACUCUAUAUGUAAUUAUCCUUUAAAUCACGGGAAAGAUAUGCAUUUGGGAAGAUGACUGUUAGAUUUUUGUGUGCAUCUUCAGCAAAGGUGAUUGUGAUGGACUAAGUGAUAUUGAUCUUAUGAGAUGCUUGAACAGAGAUAAAGAUGAGAAGCCCUCUUCACCAGUGAAAAAGUGAGAAGACAUCUCUGUUCCCUGAGAGGAAGAAUCCUUUGUCUUUAGAGUUACUCAUCUUUAAAGGGUCACACCUUAACAUGCAAGACUCAGAGUCCCAUGACGCAUAAGCAGCUUGAGAAACUGCUAAUGGGAGAAGUCAUGGAAGUAAGUUUUACUGGGCGGCUGUUUUUAUGACAGUUAAAACCCACAAGAGAACUGUUCUAGGUUGUCAGUGGGAUCCAUGACUCUAAGAGAGGCUCCUCUCCUAAAGAAGUGAUGAAAGACUAUUUUCAAAUGGUGAAACUGACUGAAAAUCACAGGUUGUCUCUUUAUGUGGUUUGUGAAAAAAAUGAACAGUUUGUGGAGAGAUGCAGAGUGUUUUAGACGUUUCUUCUUUUUUUCCUUAAAUUUCUCAUUCUUUUCUUUUAGUGUGUGUUAAUAAAAUCUAUCUGUUUACCUUAAGUUGGGCCUGUUUUGCCUUUUUCUCCUAAUCCUAUCUCACAGAAGGAAAGCAGAGUAAACACUGAAACCAUCACAAAAUUGGUGCAUUGGCCGAAAAUGGUCAAAAUUGGCAAACGUUAAACUGCUACACCAAGUCCCAGUUCAAGAAGUGCUAUCCAACAACUGCUGUUCAACAGGAUAAACUAGAUUUGAAAAGCUAGAACUCAAGAUAUAAUUGUGCUCUUGCUAGGUUCAAAACACUUGCAGGAUAAGAACUGUUGGAGUCUAGAACAUCCCUCUGGCCACCCUGGAGGGUUUGGAGACCAGGCAGGGGGGUCUGGGAUCUGUACAAGGGGGCCAACCAGCCUCACACAGAGCCCGGGAGGACACUGCCUCUGAUCCCUGGCCAUGGGAGUGAAUGCCCACAUUGUAUGAAGAAUCACAAGCUGACAGAAUUCAAAAUAAGUAGUAUUUAGUUUAUCAUAGAAUGUAAAUGUAUAAUCUAGGAUUCUCAGUAUAUGGGGUUGAAGAGGCAAGAUGGAGGAAUUGGGGAGUGGCCCCUGUGCUCCUUGUUCUUGUUCUCGUCCCCCAUUUUCUGCUGAGUUGGAUCUCAAGGAUUGGUUUAGAGUAGAAAUGACAUGUUAACAUGGGUAGUACGUAUUGGUACAAUUUUGUAAAUAAAAAGUACGUCUUGGACAGUGGUUGGGUCAGGGGUACUGUACAUAAGGUGCGGGGCUCUCUGAUCCGCCCAGUCCGCCGCGUGUCCUGCUCUGCUGGGGAUGCCUCACAGAGCUGAGAAAGAACUAAGAUAAGGUACCCUGCCAGGGAAGUGCCUGGCAGAGCUGAAAAAGGACUGAGAUAAUGAAGAAUAAACAACCUUGGAAAUGUGCACUGGUGGACUCAGCUUGUCAUCUCUGGCUCCGGUGUGAAACACUUAGGGCAAAGAGAAGACGGAAAACCUUAUUACCUCUGGGAACAGCAACCCAGAGGGGGACAGCAACCCUGGGGGAAAACCUUAGUACCUUGGGGAACACCAACCCCAAGGAGAAUCUCAGGGAAUCAAUAACCCUGAGAAGUGGUGCCUGAAGACAUCCCAGCAGCCACGGACCCUCAGAAGAAGACAAAAACUCCAUCAUUAGAAGAUAAGAACAGAUUCAGCUAGUCGCCGACCUUGGGCCCAGGGGCCCAGGGCUGCGUCAUCCCACAGCUGCCGGACAGCAAGAGACGACACCGGUUCCAGUUCCACAGCCAGGAAAGACUGCACCUAGGUGAGACCGGUCAAAAACCCAGAACACGGGGGGAAUGCAUCCCAGAAAUAGCUACGUAUCUUAUUAACUUGGCAAAGCAUCACUGCUGCAUAUCUUGCAGCUUUAUUUAACAAAGAGCCAGCAGCUCUCUAAUAAUGGGUUUGCCUCGAAAUUCCACAAUGCAGAACGGAACUAUAGUUCCAGACAGAAUUUUGGAAAGAGGUGAACAAAAAAAAACUAUAUCAAAAAGCAAUAAGGAGAGAUAAAGAAGCUCUCAAAUUAUUGGCAUCGGCAAGAGCACUGCUGAAAAUGAUAUUACAGAAUUCCAGGGAAGAAUUAAAACUCCCACGGCAGCAGAGAGGCAAAGAGGAAUUAGAUUCCCAGCCCUCUGAGCAAGUGAGCCCACAUGCCGACCGCAACCCUGUAAGAGUCGGUCCGAAAAUCCCUCAUUUCUGCCUCACGACUGUCAGAGGCUGAGACCCCCCCUGGACCCUGGGCCACAGCACAGGAGAGAUCCAAGCUUCUCCCUGCAGCUGCACCCACUGGACCAAGACGCCCUCCUCAGGGACACGUGCAGGAACAAUGGACACUGUCACGGUUCCUGGCCGUGUUUGCAGAGGCCGUGUUUGCUUUGACUGACUGUGCUGUGCCUGCUGCAGAGCCCAGACCUGCUUGCCCCAAACCUGCCUGAUCUGAAUGGUUGCACCUGAUUCCCAGAGGAACGGGGCUCCUCACAAUGACUCUUGGGUGCUCCCCCCACGCUGGCCAGGUGCCCCCCACUUCUGCCUGCAUUGGCCGGGUGCCCCCUGCUUCUGCAAUGACUAUAAAAGCUUCCCCCUGCGACUCACACUCUGAGGCCUCCCCAGCGGACGACGGCUCUAUUGACCUACGUGCCACGGAGACUGCGAAGGUGGUCUGUUGGCAUCGGCGUCACGAGGACCCCCGUCUGUCAGUUGCUCCAGUUACUUCUUACCAGCUUUUACAAUCUAAUUACACACUGAUCCACAAGCUACGGCCUACUCUGAUUGGGAUGAACCUCACUUUGGUAAAGUAAUUGUUGCUCCAUCAGGAUCUAAGUGAAAUUUUAGAUAAAACCAAGACCUUGAUAACAAAUUAUGUCAUCCCAUCAUUGUUCUUUUAACUUUAUUUUGAUUGGCUUUUGUUUUGCAGCAAUCUCAUUCUUUACUUAGAAACAAUAGAUAUACUUAGAGAUGUUGACACAAGACAAACUUUACAAGUAGGCCAUAGCCGCGGACUGUGAAAUGGAUUUUGCCUAAGUAAUACAUAUAUUUUAAGAAAAUUAUGUAUUUUGAUUUUUGUGAUUUGUGUUAAUCAUUUUUAAAUUUGUUCAUGCUACUUGAAAAUUGUUUUACAAUAAUUUUUUGCCUUGAUUGAAAAUUGUUUUAACUAAUAUUUUACUUAAUAUUGUUAAGAUUUUGUCUUGAUUAUUUGAUUUUAUGAAUCAUUUAUCAUCAUGAUUUGUUUAAGAGUUUUAUUAAUCAACAACAAUUAUUUGUUUUGAAAUUUUAAUGUCAUUGGAUUUGUUUUGUCAUAAUAUUUUGUUUUGAGAUAUUAACAAUCAAUAUUAAUCAUUAUGAUAUCUCUUGUUUUUCCUUCUCCCUUCUAUAUUUCUUUUCCCCCUCUCUUUUUCUCUCGACUCUAUUUUCCUGGGUAUACUACUGACACUGACAAUGAGUCCUGAAGACUUCAGAACAACGCAACGAACUCAACUGAUGGAGCUCUCCUGCCGACCAGUCGUGAGUCACGGGGUGGUGUAAGAGUCGGUCCGAAAAUCCCUCAUUUCUGCCUCACGACUGUCAGAGGCUGAGACCCCCCCUGGACCCUGGGCCACAGCACAGGAGAGAUCCAAGCUUCUCCCUGCAGCUGCACCCACUGGACCAAGACGCCCUCCUCAGGGACACGUGCAGGAACAAUGGACACUGUCACGGUUCCUGGCCGUGUUUGCAGAGGCCGUGUUUGCUUUGACUGACUGUGCUGUGCCUGCUGCAGAGCCCAGACCUGCUUGCCCCAAACCUGCCUGAUCUGAAUGGUUGCACCUGAUUCCCAGAGGAACGGGGCUCCUCACAAUGACUCUUGGGUGCUCCCCCCACGCUGGCCAGGUGCCCCCCACUUCUGCCUGCAUUGGCCGGGUGCCCCCUGCUUCUGCAAUGACUAUAAAAGCUUCCCCCUGCGACUCACACUCUGAGGCCUCCCCAGCGGACGACGGCUCUAUUGACCUACGUGCCACGGAGACUGCGAAGGUGGUCUGUUGGCAUCGGCGUCACGAGGACCCCCGUCUGUCAGUUGGUAGCUAUACCCUUUCUUUAGCCCCCUUUCUCUCCCUCUCUCUCUCCCUCUCUUCUUUCCCCUUCUUUUCUAUCGCAUAACUGUGUGUAUCAAUAAAGAUACAAUUGAUUUCACUUGAA